GUGCCUGUGGCAUGUGGAAGUUCCUUUGCCAGGGAUCAAACCCUCACCCCAGCAGUGACCCAAGCUGCUGCACUGUCUUCUUACUUCUUUUGUCUUAGAUUAAUUGAUCAAUAAGGGCAAGUGUUUAUUUCUGGGCUUUCUGUCUUGUUCCAUUGGUCUAUGUGUCUGUUUUUGUGCCAGUACCAUUCUGUUUUGAUUAUUGUAGCUUUGUAGCCAGGGAGUGUAAUUCCUCCAGCUCUGUUCUUUUUUGCUUAAAAAUUUUUUUUUUUUUUUGCUAUUAAGUGUCUUUUGUUUUACAAUACAAAUUUUAAAAUUUGUUCUAGUUCUGUGAAAAAUGCCGUUGGUAUUUUGAUAAGGAUUGCAUUGAAUCUGUAGAUUGCUUUGGGUAGUAUGGUCAUUUUCUGAUAUUUAUUCUCCCAAUCCAUGAACAUGGUGUGUUUUUCUAUCUUUUACAGUAUGUAUAUAAAACUUUUUCAGGGAAAGAUUGGGAAAUGGGUAAAUUUUUUUGCUCCUUUUGCACUGCGCCCUAAGGGGAUAGCCAGCUAGAAAUUGCUCCUUUGUUUUCUAUAGUCCUAUGGAACUUGUUAGUGGAACCCCCUUUAGCUAUAAGACUGAUGGUCUGGAGACCCAUUUCUCGGGGAGCAGCUAUAAAAUCUGGGGUGUAGGCAUGUGUACUAGCUCCUUCCAGGGAGAUACUAGGAAUUUAGAGUCAUCUUGAGUGGGAAGGAAUGUUGUCCACUUCCCCAUUUUCUGGGGAGGAUCAUGGUUAGUCCCUAAUGCCUGUUAAAUUAGAAGACUGGACUUCAGGCAGCAGCUUAAUUUUAAAGUACACAGAUACUCUUUCAGGGGAAAACUAUGAGGUGGACACUUUUGCCUUUUUCCUCUGUGCAGAUUGCUGGGAUGAUAGCUGUGGUGAGUGCUUGCAUGCUUGUUAAGAAUUGGUUCUAUGCUAUAUACUUAUGAGGCUUGUGGACACAAGCUCCAUUGGUUUUUAGAGCAAGUGGUUUUUGUGAGCCUGUCUCUGGUGAAUCUUAUAAGUUUGAGUGCUAGAUAUGGAGUCCAAGCCCUUUGGUUUUCAGGGAGAAGCUAGAAGUCAGGGCUUCUCUCCUAAUUGUCGGGCACUGUGCUGAGAGGAGGGUUUAUGGCAAGAGUAUGGAAGGAACAGUUUUUCCUACCUGUUUUGAUGUGGGUAUUUUCUCAUUUGUCUGGCAUGUAGGAGUUGCUCAGCUAGUUGCUGGGUGUUGCUCCAUGUGUAAUUGUCCAUUUGAUGUGUCAGUAUGAGGAGGGAAGCUCAGGAGCUUCCUUUGUCACGAUCUUGUUGCCUCCCAGUUCCUAAGUUUUGAAUCCUUGCUUUUCCAUCAAAAUUUUUAUCUUUGCUCUAACGUGUUUUUGAAAUUUGAGAUGUUUUCUUUAAUAACAAUUUAGUCUUUUGAUUUUCUGGCCUUGUGUAUGGUAACCUGUAUUAAUGACAGUAAAAAAAUAUUUUUUCUUCCAUUAUGUCUUAUUGAGAUGUAGACAUGUUAUUGUAGAGUUAUAUUUCUUUUUCUUUAGUCUUUUUUUUUUUUGGUUGCUCCAUGGCAUAUGCAAUUAUCAGGCCAUGGAUCAGAUCCAAGCCACAGUUGCCUGAGCUGCAACUGCAGCAACACUGGAUCCUUAACCCAUGGUGCUGGGCUGAGGAUUGAACCCUCAUCCCAACACUCCCAAGAUGCUGCCAAUACUAUUAACUUCCCUAAGUUAAGAUCAUACAACUAUGAAAAAUCAGAGAAAUUUUUAUUAGCUAUAGAAAUUUCAUUUGCUGUACAAAUAGGUAAGUCUUUCACUGUUUUCCUUUCAUUCUUUAAAGACAUUUUAUUGUAUUGAUUUCUAAUUUUCAUUAUGAUCAGUUAAUAUAUUCUAUAUCAUUUGAAUGAUUUUAAAGAUUUUAAUAUUGUUUUUUGGCCUAGUAUAUAGUUCAUCUUGGUGAAUAUGCCCUAGACAUGAAUUGAUUCUGAUAUUUGCUGUAGUGUUUUACUUCUAUGACUAAUACUUUGGUUUUUUUCUAUAAAUUACUGAAAGAGCUAUGACUGUAGAUUUAUUUACUACUCCUUUUAUUUCUUCCAGUUUCAUUUCAUUCAAGUUGAAACUUUGUUAUUAGUCAUAUAAACUCUCAUGAUUGUUAUACUUUCCUUGUAAAUUGACUCUAUUAAGAAAUAUCUCUAUCUCUGGUAAUAAUUGAUUUGAAGUUUAUUUUUUCUGAAAUUAAUAUAACAACUCUAGCUUUCUUACGCCUUCUGUUUGUAGAGUGUAUCUUUCCCUCUUUUUAUUUCUUCCUACCUGUAUCUUUAUGUAUAACGUUUUGUAAUUUUAGAUAGCAUGUAGUUGGGAUAUGUUUUAGCCAUUAACGAUUGAGUGUUUAUUCAAUGACUAAUAUAAUCAUUAAAAAGGUGGAUUUAAGUCCACCAGUUUUGUCAUUUGUUGCUUUGUGUGUACUCCCUUUUAGUAUGUGUCUUUUGUUUCUUAUUAUUCUGUCCCUUCUUCCCUACCUUUUGACUUUUUUUCAGAAUUUUCUUUUCCUAUUCCUUUUUAACUCUACCUUUAUGCAAUUUUGCUGGUUUUCCUAGUGAUUACAAUAUACAUAUUUAGUUAUUUCAGUCUUUUAAAGACUAUUAAAUCUCUUCACAUAAAAAGAAGAAUCUUGCAAUAAUAUGUACCUAAUUGCCUAGUCUCCGGCCCCUCUUAUUCUAUAGUCGUCAUAUAUAUCUAUAUCUACUAUAAACCCUAUAGCCAAUGCCAUAAUUGUUUUAAACAGGUAUAUUUAUAUUAAAUAGUUUAAGAGGGGAAAAUACUUCAUAACUACCUAGGUAUUAACCAGUUUUAAUUCUUUUUACUCUAUCCUGAACAUCUGUGUUUCCUUCUGUUAUCAUUAUCUGUCUUCCCAAAGAAUUUUCCUUCAUGCCAAGUUGACUGGUGAUAAGUUCUUUGUUUUCUUUUAUCUGACUCUGUCCUUUUAGUCCUUUUUAUUGAUUGAUAUAGUUACUCUCUGUAGAAUUAUGAUUGGGUUUUCUCCAUUAUUACUUUAAAGAUAAUUUUCCACAGUGUUCUGGACUUUGUUGAAAUAAAAUCCAUUCUUUAGGUAGUUAAUAUAGAAAGUAGUUGAAGCAAAAGUUUUAGCUAGCAAAGUGUGAUAUGAUAGGUACUUUAACAGAGAGUAGUUAUGAAGAGUUCUUAACUAAACAAUUUGUUUUAUGAUUUUCUCUGUGUCUCCCGAUAGCUUUGAACAAAUGAGCUCCUUUUGACUGGGACUUGGUUUUGUUCAUAUUCUUGACUUACUCAGAAAGUCAUAUAUCAUACAUUUAAAAAUAAUCAUUCUAUACUUUUUAAAAUUUUUUUUUAAAUUAAAAUUUUUUUUGUCUUUUGUCUUUUUAGGGCCGCACCCAUGGCACGUGGAGGUUCCCAGGCUAGAGGUCUAAUCAGAACUAUAGGCCACAGCCACGACAACGCCAGAUCUGAGCGUUUGUGACCUACACCACAGCUCAAGGCAAUGUUGGAUCCUUAACUCACAGAGUGAGGCCAAGGAUUGAACCCACAACCUCAUGGUUCCUAGUCUGAUUCAUUUACACUGUGCCAUGAUGGGAACUUCUUAUCAUUCCAUACUUUUAAAUGGAUAGUUUCUCUUUCAUGGUAUUUACAAUAAAAUAAUAAGUUAGAAAAUGGAUGGUUUUGUUAGAAAAAGCAAAGUAAAAAAAGAUUGGAGUGAGUUGAUAUUAGAAAUAUGUCAUUUAAUUAAUUGUUACCAUUUGUUCAUAGAUAUUUGUACUAUUUUGUUAAUUGUGCAGUGUUGCAAACAUUUGCUAUGAGUUCUUUUAAUACUGAAUUGAUCCAUCUCUUGACGUAACAUUUUUUUAUUGAAGAUGACAUUGGGAUAUGGUUAUCUUACAACCUCUGAUUUUGGCGAAGAUGAAAUUAACCUUUCAAUUGUAUUUGAUGUGCAAAUUUUUUCACUUUGACAUUCCUACAUGUCAACUGUUUAUCUACCGUUCUAUCUUCUGUAAUCUAUCUAUCUCUACCUAUCAUCUGCCUAACUUAUUAAUAGAUACAUUAUCAUUUAGUCACCCAUCUUGUCACCUAUAGUUUGUAUAUCAUCUAGCUAGCUGUCUAAUCUCCAUCUAUCCAUACAUCCGUCCUGCUAUUAAGUAUGCUAAGUUGAAGAGUACGACAAUGGAGAAUCAAAGGAGUUACCCCCAUAUAAAAUGAUAGUGAUGACAGUGGUCUCUGAGGUGAUGAUAUAUAAAGUGACAGCAAGAAUAGAACAUAAUAACAGGGAUAUUAACUCAGGAACAUGUCUAUCAGGAACUCUGGACUUGCUACCAUGAUCAAAUUUGAAACCUCAAAAUAGAGCUGCCUCCAUUCUGUCUCAGCUUCUAAAAUUUAGUCUCUGUGACUGUCUUUUCAGUACAGCCUCCAUAUUUUAAAACUCAGUAUUAAUUGCAUGGAAUUAUCAGCUCAGUCUAUGCUAAACUAGACCAUGGAUUGGUAAACCUUUUCUGUAAAGGGCCAAAUAACAAUUUGUUUUCCAAUAAAACAAUUUCAGUGUUCCAAUAAAACUUUAUUUAUAACAGCAGGCUGUGGGCUUGAGUACCACAUCCUGAACAAGAUAAGUGGUUAAACCAGAACCUGGAAAAUAAUCACAUUAGCCCCACCAUUGUAAAAAAUAUUUAAAAAUUAUCUCCCCAUUUUAUUUUCAUGAAAAUUAUUUUUAGCUCCUCUGUAAAUCUUAUUUAUAAGAGAGUGCUGUCAAUGAAUACUACAUGUCAACAUAAACAAUGUAAAGCCAGUAUUGUAUAAGUGACUGGGGAGAUAUGAACCCCUUUCCAGUUAUAACCAAUAAACUAUAUUUUAAAUUGAGCAUACUUCUCCCAUAUUCCAUUUGUCCAUUGUGUCCAAACUCAUUCCUGCCUUCUUUCCCCCUUCAAUACACUUCAAGUCAAAAUGUCUCUCCACGUCUUUGGUGUUAUCCAGUCUCCUUAGCCAUUGACUUCAGUCUAUUUUGACUUCAUAUGAUCCUUUUUUGGUAAUUGUUUCAACCUCUCAGAAUAGGAUUUGUAUAUUCCAAGGCUAUUAUUUAACCUAGUUUGUAAAAAUGUGGAAGAUUCAACAGUAUACCUAAUUAAUGAAUACUAUCUUUAAUUCAAUUAAAAUUUGUCUUCCAAGUUUUCUCCAUCUUAUAUGCAUUGAAGAGUUAGAGGAGCGAAAAAUAGUAGCUAAAACCCAUUAACUUAAAAUUGAAUUUGGGUUAUUGAUUACUUUGCAAUGAACUGAGAAUUUACCUGUAUUGUUACUUGAAACUUACAUGACCAUUUUAGUGUUACUAUUUCUAUGAAAGCCUGACCCAAAUCAAUUAGAAAAAGGCAAUCAUUCCACUACAAAAGUGGAAAGUACAUAAAUGAGAAAUUCAUAAAAGGAUUGUGAAUGGCCAAGAACACAUAAAAAGUAUACUCAAACCUAUCAAUCUUCGUAAUUAAACAAAAAUGUAUUAAAUCAUCAAUUUUUAUAAAUAUAUACAUUAAAUAUAUGUGUGUGUUUAAAAACACAGACACAAACACACAAAAUAGAUUAACAAUUACCUUUUUCACCUAUUAGAUUAAUAGGUACGUUUGUUAACAAAGUGUGGGUAAUUUCAGACUCCUUCUGGAUUAAAAUCUUUCCAACACAUGGUAAAAAAUAUGUAUUAGACGGAAAUCAGCACAUUUUGACUAACGUUUUUUCUUAGAAAUUUACCUAUAGGAUGUAAUUGGAGUUUUCAAACCUGUAUGUAAACUCUAGGAUAUUCAUUACAGCCAUAGUUAUACUUGUCAAAUUAUAUGUAAUCUUUUUAUGAAGUCCUAAUGCUAGGGAAAUUAGUGGUGAUACAUUUAUACAGUUGAAUUUUUUCAGUUAUAUGUGGUAAUGUAUGUUGAAAUUAAUUGAUAUGAAAAUCUGUCUUUCAAAAGUUCAUUUUUCUGUCAGUUAUUGAGUAUCAACUAUGUUUGAGGCAUUAAUAUUGUAUUUAAUUCACAUAAAAUGAUAUAUAUGCUUGUUUGGUUAUGGUCAAUAAACCAAUUUUAUAG
RNAcentral lists this long non-coding RNA (6086 nucleotides) under Sus scrofa (pig). Its description in RNAcentral is "lncRNA (ENSSSCG00000059421.1)". Lineage: Eukaryota; Metazoa; Chordata; Mammalia; Artiodactyla; Suidae. The record is from RNAcentral.